Long non-coding RNA from Leopardus geoffroyi (Geoffroy's cat), 3848 nucleotides. RefSeq lists it as uncharacterized. The transcript is spliced from 2 exons. The record is from RefSeq and is a predicted model, not a curated record. NCBI's taxonomy places the organism in Eukaryota, Metazoa, Chordata, Mammalia, Carnivora, Felidae.
GAAUGCGACAUGCGGCUCAAACUCAUGAACUGCCAGAUCAUGACCUGAGCCAAAGUCAGAUGGAAAGAGCACAGAGUCUAGAGUCAGAUAAACUUAGAUUUGGUUUCCUCUAUUAGUACAUUCCUUGAGUAAGUUAUUUAUCCUGUAUUAAUUUCUACUUAUCUGUACUAUGAGAACACUUAACUGACAUUGUAAGAUUUGCUGAGAAAUCAUGUAUGUGUAAAGCUUGGUGUCUAGCCAGUAGAUGUAGUCAACAAAUGUAUAUUUCUCACUGUCUUUCCCAAAUCCCUGGGUGCCCUCUGGACCCUCCUUGGCCCAAAAACAGCAUAUAGAAACGCUUUCUAAACAUUGAGAGUUCACGGAUGCAUAGCAUUUGAGAGAUUGACAUAAGGUACCAACAUUCUUUGUUUUGCCAACUUGACAUUUUUUAAAGCCAUCUACCAUCACCUCUUCAGAAAAGAGAACAUUUUAAUACUAAGAAAAAAGUUAAGUACAGUCUUCUUGGAGCAGUGAACAAUCUUUUAAAGUGAAUAAACCUAGCUUCUGAAGAAAGCAACCAUAUUCCCUUAUUUUCCCAUUUCUCCUGUGAAAAUUUCAUCAUGACCUUGAUGUGGCAGAAUGAGAACAUCUGUGCUAGACAAACAAGUUUAAAAGCACAUUUUAUCAAAAGCUCUUUGAAAGUCAUAUUGAGCUUUUUUUCUCUCUCUCUUGUUUACCUUAAUUGGGAUUCCAAUAUGAAUGACAACAUAAUUUAGCAUACCACUUUCUCCGAUCUUCAAGUUAUACAGCUGAGCAGUGACUUUUUAUUCUUUUAAAUGCAUGUUUAACAUUAAUAUAUUAUCCCUCAAAUUCCAAUUUCAGUUGUAUAAUUUUGAGAAUCAGAGACCAGAUAUCCCCACUUGUGAAAAAGAAUCAACUCAUCAGAAUUUUAUUAGUUUUUAUUUAUUUAUUUAUUUUGAGAGAGAGGGAGAGAGUGCGAGCAGGCAAGAGGGAAAGGGAGACGGAAUCCCAAGCAGGCUCUGCACUGUCAGCGCCGAGCCCCACACGGGUCUCAAACCCAUGAACCCGUGAGAUCAUAACCUGAGCCGAAAUCAAGUGUCACACGCUUAACCAACUGAGCCACCCAGGUGCCCCAAUCGGAAUAUUUUUAAAUAAUUACUAUGGGGAUUCAAGGUAAAGACAUGUUUGGGAUUUAAUGUUUCCAUAACUUGUCAAAAGAAAACAUGCCCAGUUUUGCCGGUUUCUAGCUCUCUGACUUACUAAUUCAUUAAGCAGAUGUUUACUGAGCACCUACUGUAUGUAGAGCACUGCUGGGACUAGAGAAGAAUAAGGCAGCAUUCCUGUGCCAGAAGAGCUCACGAUCUGGUGGAGAAGAUGCCCACAGAAACAAGUAAGAGGCUUGGAAGUGUCUUGUGCCUGUGGCCCUAGAAAUGCCCCUUCUCAUCCUAACCCCUGUCUGUUCUCCCCCUCCUAGUAACUCGUGGCAGCCAGUUGAUGUCAGGCCAGUCUUUGUUCACCUAAUAUUACGAGCAGCGAGGAGAAUAUGGGUAAAUAUUAUGAACAACGAGGAGAAUAUGGGUAACAGAGUUUAAAAGUAAGCCAUAGGUGAGGCAGAGAAGUGGAGUACCUCCAUGGCAUCAUUUUUCCUGGCCUCUAGUCCUCUCCUCCCAGCCUAAAAUCUUUGUCUGUUAUUUCCCAAGACAUCUUCACUGUCUUCUGCUUUGAGCUAACUCCUGCUUAAUAGCUCCCCUCUCCUCAACUGCUCUCCUGUUCCCUUCAGUUCUGAAGCCUUGCCUGUUUUGUUUUGUUUUGUUUUGUUCCGUUUUGUUGUCCAGAUUUGAGUCAUCUAUGCUCCUGGGGAACCCAGGCUCCCCUUGUUAACCACAGCCACUUUUCUGCUAUAGAUUCAUGCAUAUGAAAUACAUUCAGAUUGACACAGCAGGGCCAGUGGGAAGGGGGGUCGAGAGGGGUAGGAGUGUGGACAUGAAGGGAGAGAUAUAUUGCAGAGUCCCAAACAAAUCAAAUGCCAUCAUGAGGUGGGUGGUCCAAGCAGAUAGAGUUUGCUCAUACCUCCAGCUACCCUGAGUUAUAUUUUUUUAAGUUUGUUUAUUUAUUUUGAGAGAGAGCAUGAACAGGGAAGGGGCAGAGGGAGAGAGGGAGAGAAAGAGACUCCCAAGCAGGCUCUACUCUGUCAGUGCAGAACCCAAUGUGGGGCUUGAACCCACAAACUGUGAGAUCAUGACCCGAGCUGAAGUCAGACGCUUAACUGACUGAGCCACCCAGGUGCCUUUACACUAUUUUAAAUAAAAUUUUUAUUGUGGAAUAACUUUAAAGUAUAGUCUGCUCAUCUUGGAGAAGUGAACAAUCUAUUAAAGUGAAUAAACCUAGCUUCUGAAAAAAAAAUAACCAUAUUCCCUUCUUUUCCAAUUUCUCCUGUGAAAAUUUCAUCAUGGCCUUGAUGUGGCAGGAUGAGAACAUCUGUGCUAGACAAACAAUUAGAUUUACAAAAAAGUUGCAAGGAAAAUAGAGAAUCCCCAUGUACUCCUUUCUCAGCUUCCCCUAACGUUAACGUCUUCCAUUACCAUGGCGCGUUAGUCAAAGCUAAGAAACCAAUUCUAGUACAUUACUGUGCAGUCCAGAGUAUUCAACCUGUACAGUUUUUCCACUAGUGUCCUUUUUCAGUUCUAAGAUCCAAUCUAGAAUAUCAUAGUGCAUUUAGGCACAUUAUGCUUUCUUCAUUUAAAUAAACGUUUAACUUUAGAAUAGUUUUAGAUUUUGAGAAAAAGUUUGCAAAGAGUUCUCAAGUAUCUCCUGCACCACUUUGUCUAUUGCCAACGUCUUACAUUACUGUGGUGCAUUUUUUGCGUUAAAAAACCAACAUUGGUACAAUACUGUUAACUCUAUGCUUUAUUCAGAUUUCACUAGUUUUUAACCUCAUGUUCUUUUUCUGUUCUGGGAUCUCAUCCAGGAUAUGAUAUUACAUGUCUUUGUCAGAUUCUUCAUGCCUUUGAUUACCUCAACAGUUCUGAGAAGUACUGGUCAAGUAUUUUGUUGAAUGUCCGUGGGUUUGGGUUUGUCCGAUGUUUUUCUCCUGAUUCGACUUGGUGUAUGGACUUCCGGGGAGGAAGAUCACAGAGGUAAAUUGCUAUUUUCAUUACAUCACUUUAAGGAUACAUACUAUCAGCCUGACUUACCAGCUGGCUGAGGUAGUGUUUGGCAGGUUUCUCCACUAUCAACUUAAUUUUUUUUCUUUCUAUAAAUCUACUCUUUGGAAAUGAAUCACUAAGCACAGGCCAAACUCUAAGGGUGGGGAGGAGUUAAAGCCCACCUCCUUGAGGGGCAAGUAGCUAUACCACUUACGGGGCACUGCUGUGUAUGAGAGGUAGGUCUCUUCUCCCUCGAUUUAUUUAGUACCCAACCCUUUAUUUAUGUUAGCGUGAGCUUGUGGGUAUUUAAGCUUUGAGUUGCAAACCAGUACUGUAUAUUAUUUUGCUGUUCCACUUCUUCCAGCCUUAGCAAUUAAGAAUUCUUUCAAGGUGGCUUCUGUGUCCCAUUGAUAUCUCAUCCCUUUUUUUUUUUUUUUUGAGCACUUUCUGUUACUCCAAGAUGCUCUGGGCUCAUCUUGUAUAUUUCUCAAGGAGCACUCGUUCCUUUUAUUGGAGAGGGAUAUUAGAAACCAAGAUCUGGGUGGUAGGUUUGCUCAGUGCCACGAGGUGUCAUUUGUCUUAGGCUUUCUCAGCUGGCAGAGCAAAGAAAUAAAUGUAUGUGUACUAAUACCUAUAUAUACAAAUACCUAGAAAUAUUUCUGUGUAACCGUCAAUACUUGAUUAAAUACGAAUUCUUAUUGA